UCCUAUGUAGUCUACGCCAGUGUGGUGAA
RNAcentral lists this small RNA (29 nucleotides) under Bombyx mori (domestic silkworm). Its description in RNAcentral is "ovarian small RNA-7373". The record is from RNAcentral. Lineage: Eukaryota; Metazoa; Arthropoda; Insecta; Lepidoptera; Bombycidae.